This is a non-coding RNA of Triticum aestivum (bread wheat), 136 nucleotides long. Lineage: Eukaryota; Viridiplantae; Streptophyta; Magnoliopsida; Poales; Poaceae. The record is from Rfam.
UUACUAUUCCCUCCGUCCCAAAAUUCUUGUCUUACAUUUGUUUAGAUACGGAUGUAUCUAACACUAAAAUGUAACUAGAAUACAUCCGUAUUUAGACAAAUUUAAGACAAGAAUUUUGGGACGGAGGGAGUACUAU